RNAcentral lists this non-coding RNA (58 nucleotides) under Croceibacter atlanticus HTCC2559. Lineage: Bacteria; Pseudomonadati; Bacteroidota; Flavobacteriia; Flavobacteriales; Flavobacteriaceae. The record is from RNAcentral.
GAGUCUUAGCGUUAGGGAUUGAAGCUGUUACCGUGUAACACUGAAAGCCCGACCCGAU